Molecule: small RNA, 125 nt
Filed under: Marmota monax (woodchuck)
Lineage: Eukaryota; Metazoa; Chordata; Mammalia; Rodentia; Sciuridae
Source: RNAcentral
ACUGGGCAAGGUGGUGCGUGCCUGUAAUCCCAGCGGCUUGGGAGGCUAAGGCAGGAGGAUCGCAAGUUCAAAGCCAGCCUCAGCAAAAGCGGUGCGCUAAGCAACUCAGUGAGACCCUGUUUCUA